RNAcentral lists this ribosomal RNA (212 nucleotides) under uncultured bacterium. RNAcentral's name for it is "partial 16S ribosomal RNA". It matches the Rfam family "Bacterial small subunit ribosomal RNA", at positions 524 to 735 of the family's 1533-position model. The record is from RNAcentral.
UACAGAGGGUGCAAGCGUUAAUCGGAAUGACUGGGCGUAAAGGGCGCGUAGGUGGUUGAUUAAGUGAGAUGUAAAAUCCCUGGGCUUAACCUAGGAAGGUCAUUUCAUACUGGUUGACUAGAGUACAGGAGAGGGCAGUGGAAUUUCCGGUGUAGCGGUGAAAUGCGUAGAUAUCGGAAGGAACACCAGUGGCGAAGGCGGCCCCCUGGUUC